Molecule: ribosomal RNA, 497 nt
Filed under: uncultured bacterium
Lineage: Bacteria
Description: bacterial SSU rRNA
Rfam family: Bacterial small subunit ribosomal RNA
Source: RNAcentral
AGAGUUGAUCUGGCUCAGAACGAACGCUGGUGGCGUGUCUUAUACAUGCAAGUCGAGCGAGGCAGCAAUGCCGAGCGGCGAACGGGUGAGUAACGCGUAAGCAAUCUGCCCCAUAUCAGGAAAUACCCGUGCCAACGCGCGGUUAAUGUCCAGGAGAGUGGCCCUCUGCAUGGAGGGUUGACUAGAGAUUUAUCGGUAUGGGAUGAGCUUGCGUCCGAUUAGCUAGUUGGCGGGGCAACGGCCCACCAAGGCGACGAUCGGUAGCCGGCCUGAGAGGGUGAUCGGCCACAUUGGGACUGAGAUACGGCCCAGACUCCUACGGGAGGCAGCAGUAGGGAAUAUUGCACAAUGGGGGAAACCCUGAUGCAGCAACGCCACGUGUGGGAAGAAGCAUUUCGGUGUGUAAACCACUGUCAUGAGGGAAUAAGGCCCUUAUUCGUAAGGGACUUGAAUGUACCUUGAGAGGAAGCACCGGCAAACUUCGUGCCAGCCGCAGC